This 253-nucleotide ribosomal RNA is filed under the name uncultured bacterium. RNAcentral's name for it is "partial 16S ribosomal RNA". It matches the Rfam family "Bacterial small subunit ribosomal RNA", at positions 524 to 776 of the family's 1533-position model. The record is from RNAcentral.
UACGUAGGGUCCGAGCGUUGUCCGGAAUUAUUGGGCGUAAAGGGCUCGUAGGCGGUUUGUCGCGUCGGGAGUGAAAACCUUGGGCUUAACUCAGGGCUUGCUUUCGAUACGGGCAGACUAGAGGUAUGCAGGGGAGAACGGAAUUCCUGGUGUAGCGGUGAAAUUCGUAGAUAUCAAGCGGAACACCGGUGGCGAAGGCGGCCUUCUGGACAGUGACUGACGCUGAGACGCGAAAGCGUGGGGAGCAAACAGG